AAUUAAGUUCUUACUUUAUUUAUUAUUAUCUUAUUUUUAGAAGUAUCUUUAUUUUUAGUAUAUUAAAGAAAAAAUUUUUUUGUUAUAGUAAAUUUGUACUGUGAAGGAAUGAUGAAAUAAUUAAAAAAUUAUAUUUUUAAAAAGUAUGUUUAAUUUGCAGUACCUUUUGUAUCAGGGUUGAUUUAAUAUAAAAAUUUAUUUUUUUGUCUCGAUUUUAAAAGAGCUAACUAGAUAUUUUAGUUAAUGUUGCAUAAUUAUUAUUAAUAUCAGUUAGAGGAGAAAUUUUAUUCGCUUUUAAAGGUAUCUAGUUUUUUAAGAAUUAAAUUUAAUUUAUUUUCAUUAUUUAACUUUUUUAUUAACUUAUUAGUUAUUUAUUGAAUAAAAAUUUAUAGGGGAUAAGCUCUAUAUAAAUCUAUAAAAUUUAUAUUUAAUGAACUGAAGUAGGCUUAUAAAUAGCCAUCUUUUAUAAGUAUGUUAUAAUUUAUUUGUCUUAUUAAUUAAUUUUUAAAUUUUUAGUAUUUUAUUAAAAUAUCAUGAUAAAUUAUUAAUUUUGAGUAAUAAUGAUUAAAUUAGUAUAAGAAAUUGUUUUUAAUUUAUUAAUUAUAAUGAUAAAAUAAGGAACUCGGCAAACAUAGUUCUCGCCUGUUUAACAAAAACAUGUCCUNNNNNNNNNNNNNNNNNNNNNNNNNNNNNNNNNNNNNNNNNNNNUUAUUUUUAACGGCCGCGGUAUACUUGACCGUGCAAAGGUAGCAUAAUCAUUAGUCUUUUAAUAGAGGGCUGGAAUGAACGGUUUAAGGAGGAACUGACUGUCUCAUUUUAUUCCCUAUUAAAAUUUAAUUUUUUAGUCAAAAAGUAAAAUUUGAUUGGAAGAAAAGAAGACCCUAUAGAUCUUUAUAUAUUAUUUUUUAAUAAUUAUUAUAUUAAUAAUUUUAAUCUAUAAUAUAUUUUGUUGGGGUGACAAGAAUAUACAAUUAACUUUUUUAUAAUUUUUACAUUGAUUUAUGAAUAUUAGAUCCAUUAUUAUUGAUUAUUAGACCAAGUUKCCUUAGGGAUAACAGGGUAAUCCYUCUCCAGAGUUCAUAUUUACAGGAGGGCUUGGGACCU
This 1104-nucleotide ribosomal RNA is filed under the name Acisoma trifidum. RNAcentral's name for it is "partial 16S ribosomal RNA". Lineage: Eukaryota; Metazoa; Arthropoda; Insecta; Odonata; Libellulidae. The record is from RNAcentral.